Molecule: ribosomal RNA, 2255 nt
Filed under: Salmonella enterica
Lineage: Bacteria; Pseudomonadati; Pseudomonadota; Gammaproteobacteria; Enterobacterales; Enterobacteriaceae
Description: partial 23S ribosomal RNA
Rfam family: Bacterial large subunit ribosomal RNA
Source: RNAcentral
AGACCCGAAACCCGGUGAUCUAGCCAUGGGCAGGUUGAAGGUUGGGUAACACUAACUGGAGGACCGAACCGACUAAUGUUGAAAAAUUAGCGGAUGACCUGUGGCUGGGGGUGAAAGGCCAAUCAAACCGGGAGAUAGCUGGUUCUCCCCGAAAGCUAUUUAGGUAGCGCCUCGUGAAUUCAUCUCCGGGGGUAGAGCACUGUUUCGGCUAGGGGGCCAUCCCGGCUUACCAACCCGAUGCAAACUGCGAAUACCGGAGAAUGUUAUCACGGGAGACACACGGCGGGUGCUAACGUCCGUCGUGAAGAGGGAAACAACCCAGACCGCCAGCUAAGGUCCCAAAGUCAUGGUUAAGUGGGAAACGAUGUGGGAAGGCCCAGACAGCCAGGAUGUUGGCUUAGAAGCAGCCAUCAUUUAAAGAAAGCGUAAUAGCUCACUGGUCGAGUCGGCCUGCGCGGAAGAUGUAACGGGGCUAAACCAUGCACCGAAGCUGCGGCAGCGAACGUAUCACUUAAAGCGAUUCAGCGGGUUACGAUUGACGGAGCGAAGCGACGUCAAAGCGUAUACAAAGUCGAGUCGGUUUAAGGAUACGUUCGUUGGGUAGGGGAGCGUUCUGUAAGCCUGUGAAGGUGUGUCGUGAGGCAUGCUGGAGGUAUCAGAAGUGCGAAUGCUGACAUAAGUAACGAUAAAGCGGGUGAAAAGCCCGCUCGCCGGAAGACCAAGGGUUCCUGUCCAACGUUAAUCGGGGCAGGGUGAGUCGACCCCUAAGGCGAGGCCGAAAGGCGUAGUCGAUGGGAAACGGGUUAAUAUUCCCGUACUUGGUGUUACUGCGAAGGGGGGACGGAGAAGGCUAUGUUGGCCGGGCGACGGUUGUCCCGGUUUAAGCGUGUAGGUGUGUGUUCCAGGUAAAUCCGGUUCACUUUAACACUGAGGCGUGACGACGAGGCACUACGGUGCUGAAGCAACAAAUGCCCUGCUUCCAGGAAAAGCCUCUAAGCAUCAGGUAACAUCAAAUCGUACCCCAAACCGACACAGGUGGUCAGGUAGAGAAUACCAAGGCGCUUGAGAGAACUCGGGUGAAGGAACUAGGCAAAAUGGUGCCGUAACUUCGGGAGAAGGCACGCUGACACGUAGGUGAAGUGAUUUACUCAUGGAGCUGAAGUCAGUCGAAGAUACCAGCUGGCUGCAACUGUUUAUUAAAAACACAGCACUGUGCAAACACGAAAGUGGACGUAUACGGUGUGACGCCUGCCCGGUGCCGGAAGGUUAAUUGAUGGGGUCAGCGCAAGCGAAGCUCCUGAUCGAAGCCCCGGUAAACGGCGGCCGUAACUAUAACGGUCCUAAGGUAGCGAAAUUCCUUGUCGGGUAAGUUCCGACCUGCACGAAUGGCGUAAUGAUGGCCAGGCUGUCUCCACCCGAGACUCAGUGAAAUUGAACUCGCUGUGAAGAUGCAGUGUACCCGCGGCAAGACGGAAAGACCCCGUGAACCUUUACUAUAGCUUGACACUGAACAUUGAGCCUUGAUGUGUAGGAUAGGUGGGAGGCUUUGAAGUGUGGACGCCAGUCUGCAUGGAGCCGACCUUGAAAUACCACCCUUUAAUGUUUGAUGUUCUAACGUGGACCCGUGAUCCGGGUUGCGGACAGUGUCUGGUGGGUAGUUUGACUGGGGCGGUCUCCUCCUAAAGAGUAACGGAGGAGCACGAAGGUUGGCUAAUCCUGGUCGGACAUCAGGAGGUUAGUGCAAUGGCAUAAGCCAGCUUGACUGCGAGCGUGACGGCGCGAGCAGGUGCGAAAGCAGGUCAUAGUGAUCCGGUGGUUCUGAAUGGAAGGGCCAUCGCUCAACGGAUAAAAGGUACUCCGGGGAUAACAGGCUGAUACCGCCCAAGAGUUCAUAUCGACGGCGGUGUUUGGCACCUCGAUGUCGGCUCAUCACAUCCUGGGGCUGAAGUAGGUCCCAAGGGUAUGGCUGUUCGCCAUUUAAAGUGGUACGCGAGCUGGGUUUAGAACGUCGUGAGACAGUUCGGUCCCUAUCUGCCGUGGGCGCUGGAGAACUGAGGGGGGCUGCUCCUAGUACGAGAGGACCGGAGUGGACGCAUCACUGGUGUUCGGGUUGUCAUGCCAAUGGCACUGCCCGGUAGCUAAAUGCGGAAGAGAUAAGUGCUGAAAGCAUCUAAGCACGAAACUUGCCCCGAGAUGAGUUCUCCCUGAGACUUAAAGUCUCCUGAAGGAACGUUGAAGACGACGACGUUGAUAGG